GCACUUGGGACAUGCCCGGCCAGCAGAAAGCAGCUCCAUAGGGGAGGAGAGCCACGGAGAAUCUCACAGCUGCAGUCUAAUAGUAACACAGAGGAAUGUGAGUCAACAUUCCAUGUCUUCCAGGAGGCCCCUGAUCUUCUCUGCCCAGGGACCACUCUUAUCUGACCCAGAGACAGCACAUAUCUUUCCUUAAAGAUCAGAUCAAUAAAAUAUUUUAUUUAUUCACUAAUUUAA
RNAcentral lists this small RNA (234 nucleotides) under Pongo abelii (Sumatran orangutan). RNAcentral describes it as "processed transcript". Lineage: Eukaryota; Metazoa; Chordata; Mammalia; Primates; Hominidae. The record is from RNAcentral.